Molecule: long non-coding RNA, 266 nt
Organism: Bufo bufo (common toad)
Lineage: Eukaryota; Metazoa; Chordata; Amphibia; Anura; Bufonidae
Exons: 3
Source: RefSeq, a predicted model, not a curated record
UGACGUCACCACAGGUCCUUCAGCCGUUACACUCUAAGGGGCAGAGAGCAGGUCUUGGUCAGGCGCCCGCUGUACUAGAGGCCUCCAAGUCAACCGCUUUUCUCUUCUUCUCCCGAAUGACCUACCAAGGAUGGACGAGGACAAGAAUGAGAUUUCCAGAAGAAUAUUAGGCUUCACCCUGGAGAUCAUCUCCCUGUUGAGCGGAGAGGAGUACACAAUCGUGAAGAAGACAUCGGGGGACUGUAUGACUCCCAUCAUCCAUCUCC